CUUUACUAUAGCUUGACACUGAACAUUGAGCCUUGAUGUGUAGGAUAGGUGGGAGGCUUUGAAGUGUGGACGCCAGUCUGCAUGGAGCCGACCUUGAAAUACCACCCUUUAAUGUUUGAUGUUCUAACGUGGACCCGUUACCCGGGUUGCGGACAGUGUCUGGUGGGUAGUUUGACUGGGGCGGUCUCCUCCUAAAGAGUAACGGAGGAGCACGAAGGUUGGCUAAUCCUGGUCGGACAUCAGGAGGUUAGUGCAAUGGCAUAAGCCAGCUUGACUGCGAGCGUGACGGCGCGAGCAGGUGCGAAAGCAGGUCAUAGUGAUCCGGUGGUUCUGAAUGGAAGGGCCAUCGCUCAACGGAUAAAAGGUACUCCGGGGAUAACAGGCUGAUACCGCCCAAGAGUUCAUAUCGACGGCGGUGUUUGGCACCUCGAUGUCGGCUCAUCACAUCCUGGGGCUGAAGUAGGUCCCAAGGGUAUGGCUGUUCGCCAUUUAAAGUGGUACGCGAGCUGGGUUUAGAACGUCGUGAGACAGUUCGGUCCCUAUCUGCCGUGGGCGCUGGAGAACUGAGGGGGGCUGCUCCUAGUACGAGAGGACCGGAGUGGACGCAUCACUGGUGUUCGGGUUGUCAUGCCAAUGGCACUGCCCGGUAGCUAAAUGCGGAAGAGAUAAGUGCUGAAAGCAUCUAAGCACGAAACUUGCCCCGAGAUGAGUUCUCCCUGAGACUUAGAGUCUCCUGAAGGAACGUUGAAGACGACGACGUUGAUAGGCCGGGUGUGUAAGCGCAGCGAUGCGUUGAGCUAACCGGUACUAAUGAACCGUGAGGCUUAACCUUACA
Molecule: ribosomal RNA, 835 nt
Filed under: Salmonella enterica
Lineage: Bacteria; Pseudomonadati; Pseudomonadota; Gammaproteobacteria; Enterobacterales; Enterobacteriaceae
Description: partial 23S ribosomal RNA
Rfam family: Bacterial large subunit ribosomal RNA
Source: RNAcentral